RNAcentral lists this ribosomal RNA (433 nucleotides) under uncultured bacterium. RNAcentral describes it as "partial 16S ribosomal RNA". It matches the Rfam family "Bacterial small subunit ribosomal RNA", at positions 29 to 507 of the family's 1533-position model. The record is from RNAcentral.
AACGAACGCUGGCGGCAUGCCUAACACAUGCAAGUCGAACGAGACCUUCGGGUCUAGUGGCGCACGGGUGCGUAACGCGUGGGAACCUGCCCUUAGGUUCGGAAUAACUCCCCGAAAGGGGUGCUAAUACCGGAUAAUGUCUUCGGACCAACGAUUUAUCGCCUUUGGAUGGGCCCGCGUUGGAUUAGCUAGUUGGUAGGGUAAAAGCCUACCAAGGCGACGAUCCAUAGCUGGUCUGAGAGGAUGAUCAGCCACACUGGGAAUGAGACACGGCCCAGACUCCUACGGGAGGAAGCAGUGGGGAAUAUUGGACAAUGGGCGAAAGCCUGAUCCAGCAAUGCCGCGUGAGUGAUGAAGGCCUUAGGGUUGUAAAGCUCUUUUACCCGGGAUGAUAAUGACAGUACCGGGAGAAUAAGCGCCGGCUAACUCCGUG